CGUAGGGGACGAGCGUUGUCCGGAUUCAUUGGGCGUAAAGCGCGCGUAGGCGGCUCGGAAAGUCGGUCGUGAAAUGCCGGGGCUCAACCCCGGGACUGCGUCCGAUACUUCCGGGCUGGAGGUAGGUAGGGGAGAUCGGAAUUCCUGGUGUAGCGGUGAAAUGCGCAGAUAUCAGGAGGAACACCGGUGGCGAAGGCGGAUCUCUGGGCCUUACCUGACGCUGAGGCGCGAAAGCUAGGGGAGCGAACAGGAUUAGAUACCCUGGUAGUCCUAGCCGUAAACGUUGGGUGCUAGGUGUGGGCGGACAUCGACCCCGUCCGUGCCGAAGCUAACGCAUUAAGCACCCCGCCUGGGGAGUACGGCCGCAAGGCUA
Molecule: ribosomal RNA, 373 nt
Filed under: uncultured organism
Description: bacterial SSU rRNA
Rfam family: Bacterial small subunit ribosomal RNA
Source: RNAcentral